GGAAGAGAAUCCAAAAUCCCCAAAAUAGGAGAGAAUGAUUCAGCUCAAAUCAGAGUUCAGAGGGCAGAAAAAUCAAUGUCCUUUUUGGAAGAUGAACAACAACGUGGGAUGGAUGGCCAGAGACCUACACCUGGAAGUUGAGGAAAGGGUUUGCAUGCAGCUGAAAGAGAUUGAAACGACGGGGCUAAUGGCUCUGAACCAGUAAAAAACAACAACAGCAACGGGAAAAAGGAAAAAGAAAACAACAGUUUGGGAAGUGCUGUAGUGAAGAAAUGAACAAGCUGCUGCUGAUGAAUGAUGUGACAAUUGACAAUGAAACAUAGCGCGGCGCCUCUAGUCUGUGUACCAGAGAGAGCGUGGGUGGGGAUUUGUGGGGUUUUUCUCUGCCUGCAAUUUGCAUGCUGGCGCCUGUUGCUAGUGCCCUAGUGGCUACACCCCAUUUCUCCACCUCCACAACCACGCCAUUAAGUUUUAUUGUUAUACUUUGGCAAUUUGCCCGCAGAUAGAUGUACGGU
Molecule: long non-coding RNA, 515 nt
Filed under: Gossypium raimondii (Peruvian cotton)
Lineage: Eukaryota; Viridiplantae; Streptophyta; Magnoliopsida; Malvales; Malvaceae
Description: long non-coding RNA (GRAI_LNC003888)
Source: RNAcentral